This 300-nucleotide ribosomal RNA is filed under the name uncultured bacterium. Its description in RNAcentral is "bacterial SSU rRNA". It matches the Rfam family "Bacterial small subunit ribosomal RNA", at positions 399 to 691 of the family's 1533-position model. The record is from RNAcentral.
GCGUGAGUGAUGAAGGUCUUCGGAUCGUAAAGCUCUGUCAGAGGGGAAGAAACUAUUGUCGUUUAAUCGCGGCAGUACUGACGGUACCCUCAAAGGAAGCACCGGCUAACUCCGUGCCAGCAGCCGCGGUAAUACGGAGGGUGCGAGCGUUGUUCGGAAUUAUUGGGCGUAAAGCGCGUGCAGGCGGUCUGUUAAGUCUGAUGUGAAAGCCCCGGGCUCAACCCGGGAAGUGCAUUGGAUACUGACAGACUUGAGUACGGGAGAGGAAAGUGGAAUUCCGAGUGUAGGGGUGAAAUCCGU